Molecule: long non-coding RNA, 1510 nt
Organism: Oryzias melastigma (Indian medaka)
Lineage: Eukaryota; Metazoa; Chordata; Actinopteri; Beloniformes; Adrianichthyidae
Exons: 3
Source: RefSeq, a predicted model, not a curated record
AAAGAGUUGGAAUUCAGGAGUUUAUAUUUAAAAUAUUACUAUAGUAAGUGUUAAAUUUACUUUGUAGUGGUGUCACAUUUUAGAGUUCAUUCAUAGGUGUUCAGCAAGCUCCCAUUAACAACCUGUAGAGUUCAUGGAUGGGUGGGGCUUGUGUGAAUUUCAGAGCUCUGUCUGGGCAUGUCUCGUUGGAAGGACUCCCCGCAGCACGCGCACGUUUUCAACUUCAGAACUUCGAAGCAUCAUGAGCAGUGGAACUUCUUUGUGAGAAUGGGACACCGAGAUGGCUUCUCUUCUGGUCCUUCUCCAUCUUCUCACACCACAACCAGAAGGAAGAAAGCGAGCCAAAAAGAUCAGUGUCAAAGAGGCAACGGAUCAUCUGGUUAAAUUCCUUAAGUCAUCCCAAAGCCUUGAAGAUCAUCUCUUGACCACCGAAGUAUCAAAUCAGCCAUACCUUCUUGCCACAGGAACUUCAAAAGCACAGGUUUCCACCUUCUACGUUGUCUUGGACAAAAAGCUUCUCCCAUGUCAGGCAUGUAGGACUUGGGGGCUUUUGAUGAACUGUUCAAGUCCCAUUUUGUUUUCAACAUGAAGUAUGAUGAUGCUCUGUCUAGUCUGUACACCUUUAUGCAGACUACAGUGUAAAAUAUUGAUUUGGGAACAUCAUAAACUUUUCAAAGAACUACAUCCAUCUAAGAACUUACUUCCAAAACAUCAUUUUAUGGUGCACUACACUAGAUGUAUCAGAAAAAUCUGACCCCUUAUUCACAUCUGAACAAUCUGAUGUGAAGCUAAACACACAUUUUUUAAAGACAGUGUGAAGAACUUCAAAAAAUUAUCAGUAUCACUUGCAAAUAAGCAUCAGCUUGCAGUAGCAUAUCACUGGGAAUGUCUGUCAUUUAAUGCCAUUGAGUCUGGUCCAGUUAAAACGUUUUCACUUGAAAUACUUGAAUUUUCAGAUGUUUUACGAGCAUAUCUUCAUGCUGAUUCUGACCUCACUGUUUGCAUGACAAAAUGGGUAAAGUGUUCUGGGAUUGAGUAUUGAGUUGGACGUUUUGUUUGCAGUGCUACAGAGAAAAAUAUGCCACAGUUCCACAAACUACUUUUAAUAAUUUUACACAGUGGUAAAAGUUAUUUUUUGUUUUGGCUCAGCAUGAGACCUGUUUUCAUGACCACUUCCAUUUCUUCCAAGUGAGUGAAAGUAUACCACGAAAGAGUUUGGUUAAGAUUAGGACAUUUCAAAUGCUUUGAUGCUCAGAUGUCGUAUGGGUCUGAUUCACUCUCUUUUGUUGCGUCAGAAAGUUGUAUUAUCUAAGAGUAUUCUACUUCAUCUUUUAGUGACUUAAAAAAAACGCUUUCACAGCUCUGAGUAUGUGUUAAAGUGUUUACUUUUUUUUAAUGUGAUGCGGCAACUUCUUUAUCAUCAAUUUUUCCACAAUAUUUCAUGGGAAUUCAAUACCAAGUGUAUUAAAAUGGUGUGCAAACAUCUGAAAAAUAAAGAAAAUAAAAGAAG